Petromyzon marinus (sea lamprey) is the source of this 746-nucleotide long non-coding RNA. RefSeq lists it as uncharacterized. The record is from RefSeq and is a predicted model, not a curated record. NCBI's taxonomy places the organism in Eukaryota, Metazoa, Chordata, Hyperoartia, Petromyzontiformes, Petromyzontidae.
CUUUGUGUGUGUGUGUGUGUCGCGAACAUUGGCAGUUUUUUUUUUGUUUUCCAGUAGAACUUUUCCUCAAGAAUGUGCAAAACUUAAGCCGGUGGCAUAAUCCUUGCUUGCGGCAGCAAUGUGAUCCGCUGUUGCGUUGUUGGUUUUGGCGCUGUGAGGAACUGCCUCCUCAGUUUGGACCUCAAUCACCUCGAGCGCAGCGCGUGGUCGUGUUGUUACCUUUAUCGCUGAAACGUGUGUUUGUCUGCCUUCUGGAGCGAGUCCGUGCGACUGGAUUCGUCUGUAUACUGACUCUAUUUUGACUUCAUCAGACUUUGUCGAUCCCCUGCCGGAUGACGGCCUCACCACUCAGUCAGCAGACCUCACGGCCCAGUUGCUGCUGCCGCUGCUACCAUCCAUCUCGCCGAUGCACAUUGCCACCCUGUUGGAAGAUAAGUGAUGAGACUGCUCCGCGUGUCGCGGCUCGUUGUGCCGAAGCUUCACGUGACAGCGCGGCCGGGACUCGGACAAGACAGAUGACAUCGUCGCGGGUAUCGGGAUCAGGAGGAGAUGGUGCCGUCGGGCUUGAUGCGUGAGCCGCCGGACGGCAGGACCACGGAGCCGUGACCCGUGACUGACGGUUGCCGCGUGGACCCGGUCUAUCGUCCCGCGCCUCUCCAGCAAGAUGGAUGGAGCCUACGCUGCGCGGGACUGUUGAAGAAGGGGAGGAGGGAUCAUCAGCUUGUAAAAUAUGGAUAAGGAAGAAC